This 569-nucleotide ribosomal RNA is filed under the name uncultured bacterium. RNAcentral's name for it is "partial 16S ribosomal RNA". It matches the Rfam family "Bacterial small subunit ribosomal RNA", at positions 355 to 914 of the family's 1533-position model. The record is from RNAcentral.
UGGGGAAUAUUGGACAAUGGGCGCAAGCCUGAUCCAGCCAUACCGCGUGGGUGAAGAAGGCCUUCGGGUUGUAAAGCCCUUUUGUUGGGAAAGAAAUCCAGCUGGUUAAUACCCGGUUGGGAUGACGGUACCCAAAGAAUAAGCACCGGCUAACUUCGUGCCAGCAGCCGCGGUAAUACGAAGGGUGCAAGCGUUACUCGGAAUUACUGGGCGUAAAGCGUGCGUAGGUGGUCGUUUAAGUCUGUUGUGAAAGCCCUGGGCUCAACCUGGGAACUGCAGUGGAAACUGGACGACUAGAGUGUGGUAGAGGGUAGCGGAAUUCCUGGUGUAGCAGUGAAAUGCGUAGAGAUCAGGAGGAACAUCCAUGGCGAAGGCAGCUACCUGGACCAACACUGACACUGAGGCACGAAAGCGUGGGGAGCAAACAGGAUUAGAUACCCUGGUAGUCCACGCCCUAAACGAUGCGAACUGGAUGUUGGGUGCAAUUUUGGCACGCAGUAUCGAAGCUAACGCGUUAAGUUCGCCGCCUGGGGAGUACGGUCGCAAGACUGAAACUCAAAUGAAUUGAC